Mesocricetus auratus (golden hamster) is the source of this 572-nucleotide long non-coding RNA. RefSeq lists it as uncharacterized. NCBI's taxonomy places the organism in Eukaryota, Metazoa, Chordata, Mammalia, Rodentia, Cricetidae. The record is from RefSeq and is a predicted model, not a curated record. The transcript has 3 exons.
UUUACGCACACCGCCAGAAGGGCGGGACCUAAGACUCCGCCCCUGACCAGUUCCCGCGCGGGACGGGUUUUGCGGUUACUCUGAACGGAAACGGUUGGAGUCCUGAUGUGGAACGGACCUCAAGCGGCCGGAAGUCGGCUUUUUUCCCGUGAUCUCAAGCCCUAGGAACACAGUUCCCGUUUCCUUUUGUUCUGCCGUCUGGUUCCUGGUUUCCGGGCCGCCGUCCGCUUUCAGGGGAUCCAAUACAAUGACUCUUUUGGCAUCCAGUGGCACCAGGCAUGCACAUGGUACAGAAUGAUCUUUCUUACUCAUGAUCACUAGGAGUCUACACUUUGAGCAUCCCAGCAUUAGCUGAUCUGAUUGGAUUUAUGGGUAAAUUACAGCUUUCAGGGGGGAGGUGGGGAGGCAAGCCUUGAACUUGUGAUCCUCUUUUUCUCAGUCCCCUGAAUGCUGGGAUUUCCAGGCAUGUGCCACUAAAGUGAGAACAUUGUAGCAGAUGGUGUGUUUUUUCUGUUUUGCGAUUAUCACAUUUUAAGAUCUCCAAACUUUAUACUCAUAACAUAUCUAUAUAU